Hippocampus zosterae (dwarf seahorse) is the source of this 2048-nucleotide long non-coding RNA. RefSeq lists it as uncharacterized. NCBI's taxonomy places the organism in Eukaryota, Metazoa, Chordata, Actinopteri, Syngnathiformes, Syngnathidae. The record is from RefSeq and is a predicted model, not a curated record. The transcript has 3 exons.
UCCUGCCAUCGCACCAAAUGGGGGGUAGUGGUGGUCUGGUCUCACCUCACCGCUCCUGGCUUCCUCCGGCCACACCGGGUCAGAUGACAUGUUACUUUCUUUGUUUCGGGAUUUGCAUGGGAGGCGUACCUCCCCGCCUCUCAUUAUCAUAUUGUCUCUAUAUAAUCUCAUGAAUGUGUUUCUUCGGGGCUUCCUGAUGAAAUCUGAGACUCACAGGAGCCCGAAUCGAUUCGUGUUGCGUUGCGAUAAACUGAAGAAAAGACUACGUGGUGUUGGGUCUUCUUCCACCUUAUAGAGAGAUAAAAGAAUCUGUAACCAAGGAAGGGCCAAGAGCAAAUUGACAGCUCCCAUUCCUCAACAAAUGGCGUCACGAACAGGGUCUCUCUGGAAAAAGACCGACACCGGUUUCAGGACCUUCAGACUCAGGCAGUAACCAAGGAGCGCUCCACUAUAACCAGGUAAGACACACCUGUUCCUGUUAUUACGGGCAAAGUGUCAAGAUUCGGCUUAUGUCCAAUAAGGACCGAUCAAAUCAAACUGCUCUGAACCUGAAUGUGUUGAACCAAGUAUAGUGAUUGGGUCUUGUAGGUGGCAAAUAACAAAUUGAUAAUGAGUUUGUAGGCAAUUAAAAAAAAUUAGUGGUUAAUUGCUAAGGCAGGUCCAGGUAAUUUUUAUUAUUCUGGAUGCUGAUAAAUUGUAGGACUGACGAAUGGAGAUCGCGGUCUGAGUAGACAGCUGAGCAGAGACCAUACUGAGUUUGUUUAGGCAAUUAAAAAAUUAGUGGUUAAUUGCUGAGGCAGGUCCAGGUAAUUUUUAUUAUUCUGGAUGCUGAUAAAUUGUAGGACUGACGAAUGGAGAUCGCGGUCUGAGUUCGAAGGCAUUUAAAAAAUUAGUGGUUAAUUGCUGAGGCAGGUCCAGGUAAUUUUUAUUAUUCUGGAUGCUGAUAAAUUGUAGGACUGACGAAUGGAGAUCGCGGUCUGAGUUCGAAGGCAUUUAAAAAAUUAGUGGUUAAUUGCUGAGGCAGGUCCAGGUAAUUUUUAUUAUUCUGGAUGCUGAUAAAUUGUAGGACUGACGAAUGGAGAUCGCGGUCUGAGUAAACAGCUGUAUAUUUAGGGCAAGUUAGGGACAGCUCCAUUGUUACAAUUGGAGAAUUACGUGACGUCACACGGUCCAUAAGGGAGUAUAUUGGACGGUGAGUAUGAUAAAAACAUGGUGAACUGUAAGGUGGACGGAACGCCUGAAGGCAAGAAAACGGUUGAAAUACCGUCUGGUGGUAAGUAGGAAAGAAAGGAAGGCGAAUGCAUUGCGCAGAGAGAGAAAAGGGCGAAUGCACUGCGCAGAGGGGAAGUAAAGCGAGAAAAUAAGGUCUUAAGAAUAAAUUGUAAGAAUAAGACAAUAGUUUGAAAUAUAAAAAGAAAAAACUAAGUGUAUUCAAUUCGAGCUAUAAUAAUAAUAUAAUAAUAAUAAUAAUACAUUUUAUUUGUGGGGUCUUUCUAUGAACUCAAGGACACCUUACAACAAGCAGUUAAAAUCACGAAUACAAUGUUAAGAUCAACAUCAAAUAAAAUAAGAAAAAAAUACAACAACAGAAAGAAUAAUGGCUCUAUGGUCCGAGUGAAUAGGCUUGUCCAAACAGAUGUGUUUUGAGGCGGAAUUUAAAAUGUGUUAAUGAGUCUGUAUUACGAAGGUCAGCGGGGAGUGUGUUCCAGAGCUGGGGAGCAGAUCGACUGAAGGCUCUGUUUCCCAUGGUGACAAGACGAGCAGGGGAGGCAGAGAAAAGAAGAGAGGAGUAGGAACGAAAAGAGCGGACAAGUGUAGGAAUGUGGAUGAGGUCAGAUAGGUAUGGAGGGGCUAGGUUAUGGAUGGCUUUGAAUGUGAGGAGUGAGAAAAGAGCGGAGCCGGUGGAUGUUUCUAAGAUGAUAAUAUGAUGUGGUUGAUAUGCGAGGGGAAAAGAGAGGGUCAAGUUGACAAGUAGAGGUUCUUCUAUAUAUUGCAUUUCAUGGGCAGUUUGACCACUGCCUUCGACAUUGGAAAAAGAAAAAAAAGAA